AUUGCUUCUCGGCCUUUUGGCUAAGAUCAAGUAUAGAAGUUAUUCUUUUCUUAAACCUAAAUUAAAAUUAAAUAUCAGGACCUUUA
Small nuclear RNA from Oryctolagus cuniculus (rabbit), 86 nucleotides. Its record names the gene U2. It matches the Rfam family "U2 spliceosomal RNA". Rfam says of the family: U2 is a small nuclear RNA (snRNA) component of the spliceosome (involved in pre-mRNA splicing). Complementary binding between U2 snRNA (in an area lying towards the 5' end but 3' to hairpin I) and the branchpoint sequence (BPS) of the intron results the bulging out of an unpaired adenosine, on the BPS, which initiates a nucleophilic attack at the intronic 5' splice site, thus starting the first of two transesterification reactions that mediate splicing. The record is from Ensembl. Lineage: Eukaryota; Metazoa; Chordata; Mammalia; Lagomorpha; Leporidae.